RNAcentral lists this ribosomal RNA (301 nucleotides) under uncultured bacterium. RNAcentral's name for it is "partial 16S ribosomal RNA". It matches the Rfam family "Bacterial small subunit ribosomal RNA", at positions 509 to 807 of the family's 1533-position model. The record is from RNAcentral.
CAGUCGCCGCGGUAAUACGAAGGGGGUUAGCGUUGUUCGGAAUUACUGGGCGUAAAGCGCACGUAGGCGGAUAUUUAAGUCAGGGGUGAAAUCCCAGAGCUCAACUCUGGAACUGCCUUUGAUACUGGGUAUCUUGAGUAUGGAAGAGGUGAGUGGAAUUCCGGGUGUAGAGGUGAAAUUCGUAGAUAUUCGGAGGAACACCAGUGGCGAAGGCGGCUCACUGGUCCAUUACUGACGCUGAGGUGCGAAAGCGUGGGGAGCAAACAGGAUUAGAGACCCGAGUAGUCCCUGUCUCUUAUAC